AACCUACAUCAAACAGACAAGAACAAAAAAGAGGCAAAGAUGUAGAAGAUGAAUGAAGUAGUAAAAUGAAGCUAAAAUAUGAGAGAAGGUAACAUUUAAGCGUAAUUAAAAUUAAACAAGAAAGAAAGACAAAAACACUAAGUGCAAAAGAACCAGCAAUGAGGUAACAUUUUAGCUGGGUUUUCAAAGGUGAGAAGGGAUUUCCCAGGCCAUCAGACAAAGAGCUAAAGCAGCACAGGUAUAUUUAACUUGUAGCAAAACAGAAAAGGAACUCAAGCAAGAAGGCAUUACACCAGCAGUCUAUAGAGAUGGAUGAUUUCUAUUCUGCUGACCUCAUAAACCAAGUUAUGGUUAGAGUUUAUCACUGUAUCACAAGAAAUCAUUCAAAAACUUCCAAGUACAUUCAAGUUACAGACCAACACAGUUUAUAUUUUGGUUGGGUCACUAUGAAACUAUUUU
Molecule: long non-coding RNA, 459 nt
Organism: Perognathus longimembris pacificus (Pacific pocket mouse)
Lineage: Eukaryota; Metazoa; Chordata; Mammalia; Rodentia; Heteromyidae
Exons: 2
Source: RefSeq, a predicted model, not a curated record